This is a long non-coding RNA of Spinacia oleracea (spinach), 681 nucleotides long. RefSeq lists it as uncharacterized. The transcript has 5 exons. Lineage: Eukaryota; Viridiplantae; Streptophyta; Magnoliopsida; Caryophyllales; Amaranthaceae. The record is from RefSeq and is a predicted model, not a curated record.
CUCCCUUCCUCCUCAACUUCACGUAAAAAUAAAAACCAAAAACCCUCCCCUCUAUUCCAUUCACGUGAACGGUGAACCAGGACCUUGCUUCACCUCUGCCUCAGCCGCCACCGUCACUUCAGCCCGGACCACCAGUGUUCGUCGUCGCCGCAACACCGCAAGCCACGCCCUGUCGCCGCCAGCAACCGCCCCUUUGCCUCAGCCACCGUCGCUGCAACCUCGACCACCGCCGCCUUGCACGCCUUAGUUGCGCCAGCCACACCUUCUCCCGCCGCAAGCCACGCCCUGCCGUCGCCGUACCUAGUCACCGCCGGCAGUCUCUCUCCUCCCCUUCUUGUUUUGGCGGAGAAUUCUUUGUGGGCGACUUUUGAAUUCGUUAAAGUGGCCUAUCAGUUUGUUUACACAAGUCUCUAAAUAUCAAUAAGCAUUGUCCAUCUGCAGGUUUGAAGAUGUUGCAUCAUUGGGAUCGGGAAUAGAGAGCUUGUAUUUAGUUUUGAUUUGCUAAGUUGACUUGGGUUUGUUAAUUGGGACUUUAAACUUGUCGUAUUAUUUAUAUUCCCUUAUUUCUGUUGGAUGAUUUUUGGGAUUAAACCUGUAAUCGAUUAUUUACAAACCUAAAGUUAGUUUUAUGUUUUCCGCUGCAAAAUUCUGGAUAAGCCGUUACGUCUUCACACGGGCGAU